Molecule: transfer RNA, 91 nt
Filed under: marine bacterium B5-7
Lineage: Bacteria; Pseudomonadati; Pseudomonadota; Gammaproteobacteria
Description: tRNA-Ser
Rfam family: tRNA
About the family: Transfer RNA (tRNA) molecules are approximately 80 nucleotides in length. Their secondary structure includes four short double-helical elements and three loops (D, anti-codon, and T loops).
Source: RNAcentral
GGAGAGGUGGCUGAGUGGUCGAAAGCGGCGGUCUUGAAAACCGUUGAAGGUUCAUAGCCUUCCCAGGGUUCGAAUCCCUGUCUCUCCGCCA